RNAcentral lists this small nucleolar RNA (133 nucleotides) under Meriones unguiculatus (Mongolian gerbil). RNAcentral describes it as "Small nucleolar RNA SNORA25 (ENSMUGG00000022385.1)". The record is from RNAcentral. Lineage: Eukaryota; Metazoa; Chordata; Mammalia; Rodentia; Muridae.
AAAUUAUUUCAAAGGGGGCCUGUGGGCUAGGGAACCAAGUGCGCUUUCAGGCUGUGACCAAAGGUUGACACAUUCCACAGAAUGGUUGGUGUAGUCAGUCAGUAGUGCUGUGUUUUUCUGAGACAAUAUAAAG